Molecule: long non-coding RNA, 480 nt
Organism: Panonychus citri (citrus red mite)
Lineage: Eukaryota; Metazoa; Arthropoda; Arachnida; Trombidiformes; Tetranychidae
Exons: 2
Source: RefSeq, a predicted model, not a curated record
AAUCAAUCAACAAACAAUCAAAUCAAAAACCUUUAAAUUGUUCGAUUUUCGUUCAAAAUUCAAUUCAAUCUAAAAAUGUUCACCAAAUUUUCAUCACUUUUCUUCGGUCUUGUCCUUAUUGCUUUCGUUGCUCUUUUCGACUCAGCCAAUGCUCGAUAUGGUGACAAAGGCGGUGGAUCAAUUGUUAUCCUCGGUGGUCAUGGUCAACCCUUCAUGCCUUACCCAAUGAUGAUGGGCGGUGGUGGAUUUGGCGGUUUCGGUGGUUUCGGUGGUUUCGGAAGAUAAAUUCAUCCAACCAAACAUCAUGUUACCUAUACAGUAAAGAAAGAAAGAGAGAAAGUAAAAAAGAAUCAUCAGAAUAAUCCUCAAAUUAAAACCAAUCGCUUUUAAUUGUAACAAGAGAACAGAAAAAAAAGAAUAGAAUUGACCAAAACAUGUAACCAAUAUUGUUGACCAAUAAAAGAAUUUAAACCAAGUAAA